Etheostoma cragini (Arkansas darter) is the source of this 103-nucleotide long non-coding RNA. RefSeq lists it as uncharacterized. The transcript is spliced from 3 exons. NCBI's taxonomy places the organism in Eukaryota, Metazoa, Chordata, Actinopteri, Perciformes, Percidae. The record is from RefSeq and is a predicted model, not a curated record.
UGUUAAUGUCCAAGUUGUCAUUACAUCGACAGGUUGUAUUGUCUUGUUUAAUGUCAAGUGGUCAUAACACAGAGAUUCUUGUCUUUGUUAUUUUCAUGUUGUC